Molecule: long non-coding RNA, 766 nt
Organism: Pseudomyrmex gracilis
Lineage: Eukaryota; Metazoa; Arthropoda; Insecta; Hymenoptera; Formicidae
Exons: 3
Source: RefSeq, a predicted model, not a curated record
AAGUAACAUUUUACCGAAGGAAACUUCAAAUGUAUUCGAUUGUAAAAUCUCGAAAACCGAAACAAUUUUGCAACCUAUAUAUAAAAAUUCACCGAAUAGUUGGUAUCUCGAGAAAAGUUCAGAACUGGAUGCUGACGAAGAACUCGAAGAUUUACCUACACCGACCAACAAAUCGCCAAACGUUGGCAAUGAUCCGCGAUCGGUCACAUUAUUAAAAAUCAUGACAUUAAAAUGCGAAUGUCGAUCAUGUGAUAAUAAGAAAUAUACGUCUGAUAUUCAUAUUAGUCGAAACACCGAAAGCGAUUCUUGGAGUUCUCCAGACAUGGAAAACAUGAACAAACGGAAAUCGAUAAACCAACGUAAAUUUAUCGAGAUAAGUUCCGAUGAUUUGAAUUUGUUGUCAGAUUGUAGUGUUAUUGAUUUCAGCAAUGUUAAAGGAAACACAAAGAAUAACAACAAAACAUCAAGUCAUGUUGCACAAUCAUCUUUGAGGGUUAAUUCCGCAACAAAAAAAACAAGCAAUUUAUCUUUCUUCAACGUUUUUUUCGAUAUCGUAUUCUGGCCCUUUGUUUUUCUCCGUGCAAAGCAAUAAUAAUAUGAUUUGCUGCGACAUACGUAUGUAAACGUAUUUUAAAACAUUUGAAAAAUGUGUGUGUGUUUCUUGUUUGUAUCGCUAGAAAAACCUAUGGUUGUUUUGUUUUUUGAGAAAUAUACGUAUUAUUCGACAAUGAGAUAGAAUUCUUUUACACACACAAAUAAUAAUUGU